This 189-nucleotide microRNA precursor is filed under the name Oryza brachyantha (malo sina). Its description in RNAcentral is "MIR812 microRNA precursor family". It matches the Rfam family "MIR812 microRNA precursor family". The record is from Rfam by way of RNAcentral. Lineage: Eukaryota; Viridiplantae; Streptophyta; Magnoliopsida; Poales; Poaceae.
AACAAAUCAACUUUUCAGUUUUUAAAUAUAAUAUUUAACUCUUUGUCUUAUUUAAAAUAUAUGAUUAAUAAUUUUAUUUUUAUUAGAUGAUAAAAUAUGAAUAGUACUUUAUGUGUGACUAAUUUUUUUAAAAUUUCUUAAAAUUUUUUCAAAUAAGACGAAUGGUCAAAUGUUCGAGACAAAAACCGA